This 369-nucleotide ribosomal RNA is filed under the name uncultured bacterium. RNAcentral describes it as "bacterial SSU rRNA". It matches the Rfam family "Bacterial small subunit ribosomal RNA", at positions 525 to 896 of the family's 1533-position model. The record is from RNAcentral.
ACGGAGGGUGCAAGCGUUAUCCGGAUUCACUGGGUUUAAAGGGUGCGUAGGCGGGCAUGUAAGUCCGUGGUGAAAUCUCCGAGCUUAACUCGGAAACUGCCAUGGAUACUAUGUGUCUUGAAUGUUGUGGAGGUGAGCGGAAUAUGUCAUGUAGCGGUGAAAUGCUUAGAUAUGACAUAGAACACCAAUUGCGAAGGCAGCUCACUACACAAAUAUUGACGCUGAGGCACGAAAGCGUGGGGAUCAAACAGGAUUAGAUACCCUGGUAGUCCACGCCCUAAACGAUGAUUACUCGACAUACGUGAUACACAAUGUGUGUCUGAGCGAAAGCAUUAAGUAAUCCACCUGGGAAGUACGACCGCAAGGUUG